GGGCAAUCGAUAAUCUUGUGGCUGUGAUAAUAUGUAUAAUUAGAUACAGAUCUGCUAAACGAACUUUUGUAAAUCGAGGACUACCUGUAUAGACGGGGUUGGACUAGAAGACCUCUGAGGUCCCUUCCAACUAUUGUUAUUCUGCUUGUUUUUUACAGGAUGAUUCAGAAGACAGUGAAAGCAACGGAGAAGAGGAAGCUAUGCAGACUAUUCCCUCUACACAACCAGCUGCUACGCAUCUCUCUCCAGCCCCUGCACCCUACCUCCACUUUACAGCCCCUCCCAUCUCCGCUGUCCCCUUACCUGUACCAGCUCCAACAGGAACAGUCCCGGUUGCACUUCCGCCCGUGUCCCGCGCGCCAGUCCAGGCAGGAGAAGAGGAAGAUUAUGACACUUAACACACACACACACAACGCACCCUGGUUCCGUUUUCACUGCUGCCAUUCGGGAUGGGAGGGGCGGGGGGGUGGGGGAGAAUCACAGGGGGUUUGAAAGGGGCUGUUCUUAAAUUUAUUAAAAAAGA
Non-coding RNA from Notechis scutatus (mainland tiger snake), 523 nucleotides. The record is from RefSeq and is a predicted model, not a curated record. NCBI's taxonomy places the organism in Eukaryota, Metazoa, Chordata, Lepidosauria, Squamata, Elapidae.